CUGGCUCAGAUUGAACGCUGGCGGCAGGCUUAACACAUGCAAGUCGAGCGGGGAUAGGGUGCUUGCACCUGAUUCCUAGCGGCGGACGGGUGAGUAAUGCUUAGGAAUCUGCCUAUUAGUGGGGGACAACGUUCCGAAAGGGACGCUAAUACCGCAUACGUCCUACGGGAGAAAGCAGGGGAUCUUCGGACCUUGCGCUAAUAGAUGAGCCUAAGUCGGAUUAGCUAGUUGGUGGGGUAAAGGCCUACCAAGGCGACGAUCUGUAGCGGGUCUGAGAGGAUGAUCCGCCACACUGGGACUGAGACACGGCCCAGACUCCUACGGGAGGCAGCAGUGGGGAAUAUUGGACAAUGGGGGCAACCCUGAUCCAGCCAUGCCGCGUGUGUGAAGAAGGCCUUUUGGUUGUAAAGCACUUUAAGCGAGGAGGAGGCUUACCUGGUUAAUACCCGGGAUAAGUGGACGUUACUCGCAGAAUAAGCACCGGCUAACUCUGUGCCAGCCGCCGC
This 506-nucleotide ribosomal RNA is filed under the name uncultured bacterium. RNAcentral describes it as "bacterial SSU rRNA". It matches the Rfam family "Bacterial small subunit ribosomal RNA", at positions 19 to 518 of the family's 1533-position model. The record is from RNAcentral.